CAGUCAAAGUGCGAGUGGCGAACGGGUGAGUAACACGUGGGCAAUCUGCCCAAAAGUGGGGGAUAACACUUGGAAACAGGUGCUAAUACCGCAUCAACCGGCUGACCGCAUGGUCGGCCGGGCAAAGACGGCGUCAGCUGUCGCUUUUGGAUGAGCCCGCGGCGUAUUAACUAGUUGGUAAGGUAACGGCUUACCAAGGUGAUGAUACGUAGCCGAACUGAGAGGUUGAUCGGCCACAUUGGGACUGAGACACGGCCCAAACUCCUACGGGAGGCAGCAGUAGGGAAUCUUCCACAAUGGACGCAAGUCUGAUGGAGCAACGCCGCGUGUAUGAAGAAGGUCUUCGGAUCGUAAAAUACUGUUGUCAGAGAAGAACACGUGAUAGAGUAACUGCUAUGGCGCUGACGGUAUCUGACCAGCAAGUCACGGCUAACUACGUGCCAGCAGCCGCGGUAAUACGUAGGUGGCAAGCGUUGUCCGGAUUUAUUGGGCGUAAAGGGAACGCAGGCGGUCUUUUAAGUCUGAUGUGAAAGCCUUCGGCUUAACCGGAGAAGUGCAUUGGAAACUGGAAGACUUGAGUGCAGAAGAGGAGAGUGGAACUCCAUGUGUAGCGGUGAAAUG
RNAcentral lists this ribosomal RNA (621 nucleotides) under Ligilactobacillus acidipiscis. RNAcentral describes it as "bacterial SSU rRNA". It matches the Rfam family "Bacterial small subunit ribosomal RNA", at positions 81 to 688 of the family's 1533-position model. The record is from RNAcentral. Lineage: Bacteria; Bacillati; Bacillota; Bacilli; Lactobacillales; Lactobacillaceae.